RNAcentral lists this ribosomal RNA (527 nucleotides) under uncultured bacterium. RNAcentral's name for it is "bacterial SSU rRNA". It matches the Rfam family "Bacterial small subunit ribosomal RNA", at positions 983 to 1509 of the family's 1533-position model. The record is from RNAcentral.
GACAUACUAAGAACUUUCCAGAGAUGGAUUGGUGCCUUCGGGAACUUAGAUACAGGUGCUGCAUGGCUGUCGUCAGCUCGUGUCGUGAGAUGUUGGGUUAACGUCCGCAACGAGCGCAACCCUUUUCCUUAUUUGCCAGCGGGUAAUGCCGGGAACUUUAAGGAUACUGCCAGUGACAAACUGGAGGAAGGCGGGGACGACGUCAAGUCAUCAUGGCCCUUACGGCCAGGGCUACACACGUGCUACAAUGGUCGGUACAAAGGGUUGCUACCUCGCGAGAGGAUGCUAAUCUCAAAAAGCCGAUCGUAGUCCGGAUCGCAGUCUGCAACUCGACUGCGUGAAGUCGGAAUCGCUAGUAAUCGCGGAUCAGAAUGCCGCGGUGAAUACGUUCCCGGGCCUUGUACACACCGCCCGUCACACCAUGGGAGUUUGUUGCACCAGAAGUAGGUAGUCUAACCGCAAGGAGGACGCUUACCACGGUGUGGCCGAUGACUGGGGUGAAGUCGUAACAAGGUAGGCGUAGAUGA